GACGGAGGGUGCUAGCGUUGUUCGGAAUGACUGGGCGUAAAGCGCACGUAGGCGGCUUGUUAAGUCAGGGGUGAAAUCCUGGAGCUCAACUCCAGAACUGCCUUUGAUACUGGCGAGCUCGAGUUCGGGAGAGGUGAGUGGAACUGCGAGUGUAGAGGUGAAAUUCGUAGAUAUUCGCAAGAACACCAGUGGCGAAGGCGGCUCACUGGCCCGAUACUGACGCUGAGGUGCGAAAGCGUGGGGAGCAAACAGG
This 253-nucleotide ribosomal RNA is filed under the name uncultured bacterium. Its description in RNAcentral is "partial 16S ribosomal RNA". It matches the Rfam family "Bacterial small subunit ribosomal RNA", at positions 524 to 776 of the family's 1533-position model. The record is from RNAcentral.